Dermacentor andersoni is the source of this 704-nucleotide non-coding RNA. NCBI's taxonomy places the organism in Eukaryota, Metazoa, Arthropoda, Arachnida, Ixodida, Ixodidae. The record is from RefSeq and is a predicted model, not a curated record.
UUCACUUGAUUCGCCCUUAUAGGUUAGAAAUGCAAAAAUACAAUAGAACAUACGGGUACAAAUGCGAAGAUACAGCUUGAUAAGUGGCAAGAAAGUGUUACUGGAAACAAAGUUCGCAGCCCAUGUACAGAAAACCUCGCAAUAAGUUAUUUAAAUAUACUUAUAAGUCGCCAAUAAAUUUACGUAUCUAAGAAAACGUCACUGCAUAUAAUCCGUCAAACAAGGCAAAUAAACAUGUAUGUGUUGCUUAUGUUGCAAACUUAUAUGCGUUGCUGCUUUUUUUUUUUUUUUGGCCUGUAGAGAUUCACUCCAGCGGAUGAACCUGCGUGUUAGCGUCCUGGGUGACGUGGAACUUCUUCCUAGGCAGCUGCAAUCUAAUAUGGCGCAGGUUCAAAUCGCCACUUCUAACGGAAGCCGGAAACACACAUGUCGCUUAUGCACAGCUUACAGCAGCAAAAUCAGCAUGAACAGUACCAUGCUACAUAUGGCAAAUGCUGUGAGAGCAGGUGUCAUCAAAUCUGAGUGAGCAUACAUGAUCUUUUCUAACCUUUAGUGGCACGUCUUAGGUGUGUUAAACAUGUCUAUUUAGGAUAAAAAUGACUUAAGCUCAUUUACAGUUCCUCAGAAAUGAAAACUUGCAUGGCGCUGUAAUACUUUCACGUUUAUGAAUAUUCAAGUCACAAGCAAAACAAAAAAAAUAAAAA